RNAcentral lists this ribosomal RNA (460 nucleotides) under uncultured bacterium. RNAcentral describes it as "partial 16S ribosomal RNA". It matches the Rfam family "Bacterial small subunit ribosomal RNA", at positions 338 to 795 of the family's 1533-position model. The record is from RNAcentral.
CCUACGGGGGGCAGCAGUGAGGAAUAUUGGUCAAUGGACGAGAGUCUGAACCAGCCAAGUAGCGUGAAGGAUGACUGCCCUAUGGGUUGUAAACUUCUUUUAUAAAGGGAUAAAACGAGGCACGUGUGCCUUUUUGCAUGUACUUUAUGAAUAAGGAUCGGCUAACUCCGUGCCAGCAGCCGCGGUACUACGGAGGAUCCGAGCGUUAUCCGGAUUUAUUGGGUUUAAGGGGAGCGUAGAUGGGUUGUUAAGUCAGCGGUGAAAGUUUGGGGCUCAACCAUAAAAUUGCCGUUGAAACUGGUGGACUGGAGUAUAGUUGAGGUAGGCGGAAUGCGUGGUGUAGCGGUGAAAUGCAUAGAUAUCACGCAGAACCCCGAUUGCGAAGGCAGCAUGCCGGAUUCCGACUGACGCUGAAGCACGAAAGCGUGGGGAUCGAACAGGAUUAGAUACCCCGGUAGUC